Molecule: ribosomal RNA, 492 nt
Filed under: uncultured bacterium
Lineage: Bacteria
Description: partial 16S ribosomal RNA
Rfam family: Bacterial small subunit ribosomal RNA
Source: RNAcentral
AGUGAACGCUGGCGGUAGGCCUAACACAUGCAAGUCGAACGGCAGCACAGUAAGAGCUUGCUCUUACGGGUGGCGAGUGGCGGACGGGUGAGGAAUACAUCGGAAUCUACUUUUUCGUGGGGGAUAACGUAGGGAAACUUACGCUAAUACCGCAUACGACCUACGGGUGAAAGCAGGGGAUCUUCGGACUUUGCGCGAUUGAAUGAGCCGAUGUCGGAUUAGCUAGUUGGCGGGGUAAAGGCCCACCAAGGCGACGAUCCGUAGCUGGUCUGAGAGGAUGAUCAGCCACACUGGAACUGAGACACGGUCCAGACUCCUACGGGAGGCAGCAGUGGGGAAUAUUGGACAAUGGGCGCAAGCCUGAUCCAGCCAUACCGCGCGAGUGAAGAAGGCCUUCGGGUUGUAAAGCCCUUUUGUUGGGAAAGAAAAGCAGCAGGUUAAUACCCCGCUGUUCUGACGGUACCCAAAGAAUAAGCACCGGCUAACUUCGUG